AUGCAGCGUUCUGAGUUCAAAUGACUGAAGAGUUCCCUUGUCCAUCUUGAAUAAGACUAUACCAAAAAGAAAGGAGACAAGAACUACUGGGAUAAAGAGAGAUACAGAACAUUGCAAGUCUUGACUGUUUCUAAUAUUUAGGAAAAGAAAUAUGUGUGGGGGUUGGGAAUGAAGAAAGUGCAAUUGCUAAGAUGAUGUGAGCAAGUAAGAAGAAGCCAAGUGCUUUGCAAUGUGGCAGUCAAAGUGAUGUCUUAAUGGUGUCUUGGGAAUUGGCCAGACCUGUCCUAUGAUAAAAACAAAAAGGUAAGGAUCAUGUGGGAAACUCUGCUUUGAGAAGGAAACUCGGGGUAUCAUCGCUCUCACAGUGCCAUUUAGGCAAGUGUUUGUCCACAUCCAUUCACCCAGGCAUUGAGAAGUUUCUGCAGCUCGGGUUCAAGGGCCUUCCCACUGCUUGGUCUGAAGAUAUCCGUGUAAUAAUGCUUUUUCAGGUCUGAAAAAUGCAUGAGUAAUGAGGUCCAUAGGCUUUCAGCUCAAUUCCAAAGAAAGGAUUAGAGGCCCAGCAACACAACACAGAGGCUAACCCUUGUAAGCAUCCUGGUGAAGGAGAUAUGUGAAACCAUGAAGCAGAAAUUGGUGGUGCGAUAAAGACCUCAAGAAGAUGGAAAUGCCAGGAAUCUAGAUGCUCCUCUGAAGAAAGACACAGGCAUUGAGAAGAGUCAGUUUAGGAGAAGAGCAUGUGGGCUACAAAUGGCAAAACCAUAAGGACAGGGCUCCCCCAGACCUUUGGGGCUCAUAUCUCACCAACAUGUGCCUUGAUGCUAGACUUAAAGGACCUCACUGCUAAAGUCUGCCUUGAAUUUCAGAAAAGACCUCAAACUUGAACUUUGGAAAAAUGUUGGCAUUGUUAAGAAUAUGGGGAUUCUUGAAGCUGGAAUGAUGCAUUUUGUGUUGUGAGAUAGACAUGAGCCUUCUGUGGACCAGGUGCUUGGGGGUUAAGGUGGACUUCUGAUGGUUAAUCAUAUUGUCAGCUUGUUUGGUUUGAGAAAGGCCUAGCAGAUUCUCAAAGCACAUUUCUGUCUGUAACUGAGGAAGAAAACUCCAUCCUGACUGUGGGUGGUACCAUUUCACAGUCUAGAGCAGCAGUUCUCAACCUGUGACUUGCAACCCCUUUGGAGGGGCUGCCAAGAUCAUCAGAAAACACAGAUAUUUACAUUAUGAUUCAUAACAAGCAAAAUUAUAGUAACGAAGUAGCAAUGAAAAUAAUUUUAUGGUUGAGGGUCACCACAACAUAAGGGAUUAUAUUAAAGGGUUGCAGCAUUAGGAAGGUUGAGAACAACUGAUCUGAAGGAAUUAGUAAAAUAAUUUGACAAGGAGACAUUGUUGCUUUCUCAUUGCUUCCUCUCUGCCAAGGGUGAGGUCUUCUGCACUGCCACAUCCUUCCCACCAUCAUUGACAAAAAGAUCUGAAACUGUAAACUGAAACAAAUCAUUUUCCCUUUAAGUUGUUCACUCAGGUAUUCCCUUGCACUGACUAAUACAAUUACUGCACACACAUUUCUAGUCAUUGGCAAACCAAUUGGCUGCAGGGAGAUUGUUGCCCAGCAUUUAUAACUGCCAACUUGCCUGGAUUCAAAUCCUGUUUCACAAUGCCAUCCUUUGAUUGGCAUGUGUGUUGGUUAGCUUUUUGGCAACCCAGGAUAUGUUAAAGCCAUCUGGGUAGAGGGGGCCUUAAUUGAAGAAUUGCCUCCAUCAUAUUACCUGUGGGUAAGUCUGUGGAACAUUUUCUUGGUUAAUAACUGAUGUAGGAGGGACCAGCUAUCUAUGAAUAGUACUGCCUCCUAGAGAGGUGGUCCUGAGUCCUUUCCAUAUGAAAGCAAAUGAAACACACCACAGUUGGCAGUCUAGUCAGCAGUAUUCCUCCAUGGUGUUUGAAUCCAUUUCUGACUCUAGGGUCCUUUCUUGGGAUGCUGCCCUGUUUCCCUCUAUGACAGACUGUAAGCUAUAGUAUGAAAUAAACUAUCUCCUCCCUCAGGGUUUUUGGUCAUGGUCUUUAUAA
Non-coding RNA from Peromyscus maniculatus bairdii (prairie deer mouse), 2055 nucleotides. NCBI's taxonomy places the organism in Eukaryota, Metazoa, Chordata, Mammalia, Rodentia, Cricetidae. The record is from RefSeq and is a predicted model, not a curated record.